This 1351-nucleotide ribosomal RNA is filed under the name Lacticaseibacillus rhamnosus PEL6. Its description in RNAcentral is "bacterial SSU rRNA". It matches the Rfam family "Bacterial small subunit ribosomal RNA", at positions 185 to 1520 of the family's 1533-position model. The record is from RNAcentral. Lineage: Bacteria; Bacillati; Bacillota; Bacilli; Lactobacillales; Lactobacillaceae.
ACCGCAUGGUUCUUGGCUGAAAGAUGGCGUAAGCUAUCGCUUUUGGAUGGACCCGCGGCGUAUUAGCUAGUUGGUGAGGUAACGGCUCACCAAGGCAAUGAUACGUAGCCGAACUGAGAGGUUGAUCGGCCACAUUGGGACUGAGACACGGCCCAAACUCCUACGGGAGGCAGCAGUAGGGAAUCUUCCACAAUGGACGCAAGUCUGAUGGAGCAACGCCGCGUGAGUGAAGAAGGCUUUCGGGUCGUAAAACUCUGUUGUUGGAGAAGAAUGGUCGGCAGAGUAACUGUUGUCGGCGUGACGGUAUCCAACCAGAAAGCCACGGCUAACUACGUGCCAGCAGCCGCGGUAAUACGUAGGUGGCAAGCGUUAUCCGGAUUUAUUGGGCGUAAAGCGAGCGCAGGCGGUUUUUUAAGUCUGAUGUGAAAGCCCUCGGCUUAACCGAGGAAGUGCAUCGGAAACUGGGAAACUUGAGUGCAGAAGAGGACAGUGGAACUCCAUGUGUAGCGGUGAAAUGCGUAGAUAUAUGGAAGAACACCAGUGGCGAAGGCGGCUGUCUGGUCUGUAACUGACGCUGAGGCUCGAAAGCAUGGGUAGCGAACAGGAUUAGAUACCCUGGUAGUCCAUGCCGUAAACGAUGAAUGCUAGGUGUUGGAGGGUUUCCGCCCUUCAGUGCCGCAGCUAACGCAUUAAGCAUUCCGCCUGGGGAGUACGACCGCAAGGUUGAAACUCAAAGGAAUUGACGGGGGCCCGCACAAGCGGUGGAGCAUGUGGUUUAAUUCGAAGCAACGCGAAGAACCUUACCAGGUCUUGACAUCUUUUGAUCACCUGAGAGAUCAGGUUUCCCCUUCGGGGGCAAAAUGACAGGUGGUGCAUGGUUGUCGUCAGCUCGUGUCGUGAGAUGUUGGGUUAAGUCCCGCAACGAGCGCAACCCUUAUGACUAGUUGCCAGCAUUUAGUUGGGCACUCUAGUAAGACUGCCGGUGACAAACCGGAGGAAGGUGGGGAUGACGUCAAAUCAUCAUGCCCCUUAUGACCUGGGCUACACACGUGCUACAAUGGAUGGUACAACGAGUUGCGAGACCGCGAGGUCAAGCUAAUCUCUUAAAGCCAUUCUCAGUUCGGACUGUAGGCUGCAACUCGCCUACACGAAGUCGGAAUCGCUAGUAAUCGCGGAUCAGCACGCCGCGGUGAAUACGUUCCCGGGCCUUGUACACACCGCCCGUCACACCAUGAGAGUUUGUAACACCCGAAGCCGGUGGCGUAACCCUUUUAGGGAGCGAGCCGUCUAAGGUGGGACAAAUGAUUAGGGUGAAGUCGUAACAAGGUAGCCGUAGGAGAACCUGCGGCUG